RNAcentral lists this small nuclear RNA (107 nucleotides) under Salvator merianae (Argentine black and white tegu). Lineage: Eukaryota; Metazoa; Chordata; Lepidosauria; Squamata; Teiidae. The record is from RNAcentral.
GUGCUCACUUCAGCAGCACAUACACUAAGAUUGGAAUGAUACUGAAAAGAUUAGCACGACCCUUGUGCAAGGCUGACACACAAAUGUGUGAAGCGUUCCAUAAUUUU